RNAcentral lists this transfer RNA (70 nucleotides) under Chlorophthalmus nigromarginatus. RNAcentral describes it as "tRNA-Arg". It matches the Rfam family "tRNA". From Rfam's summary of the family: Transfer RNA (tRNA) molecules are approximately 80 nucleotides in length. Their secondary structure includes four short double-helical elements and three loops (D, anti-codon, and T loops). Lineage: Eukaryota; Metazoa; Chordata; Actinopteri; Aulopiformes; Chlorophthalmidae. The record is from RNAcentral.
AGGCGAUUAGUCCAAGACAAGACAUUUGAUUUCGGCUCAAAAGAUCGUGGUUUAAAUCCACAAUCGCCUU